CGUGUAGGCGGUGGCGUUAGUCGGGUGUGAAAGCCCCUGGCUUAACCAGGGAGGGUCAUCCGAUACUGCGCCGCUUGAGGGCAGCAGAGGAAAGUAGAAUUCCCGGUGUAGUGGUGAAAUGCGUAGAUAUCGGGAGGAAUACCGGUGGCGAAGGCGGCUUUCUGGGCUGUUUCUGACGCUGAGGCGCGAAAGCGUGGGGAGCGAACUGAAUUAGAUACUCAGGUAGUCCACGCCGUAAACGAUGGACACUAGGUGUGGGGGGUAUCGACCCCCUCCGUGCCGAAGCUAACGCAUUAAGUGUCCCGCCUGGGGACUACGGCCGCAAGGCUAAA
This 332-nucleotide ribosomal RNA is filed under the name uncultured bacterium. RNAcentral's name for it is "bacterial SSU rRNA". It matches the Rfam family "Bacterial small subunit ribosomal RNA", at positions 568 to 898 of the family's 1533-position model. The record is from RNAcentral.